Equus caballus (horse) is the source of this 3265-nucleotide long non-coding RNA. The record is from Ensembl. Lineage: Eukaryota; Metazoa; Chordata; Mammalia; Perissodactyla; Equidae.
AGGGCAGAAGAUUAGUUUAGUAUCUCCCAGUGUGAGGUCCCUGUUAGGCCGGUUCACAUCUGAUGGAGCCCCUUCACAACCUCAGCUGACUGCCUUCAAAGGAGGGUCCAUCUUGUUCCAAGAACGCUCCUUUCUGUGCCCCAGCCCUUCCUGGGCUUGAAUAUGCAAAGAUGGAUGAAAUUGAGGUUCAGAGAGGUUAGGUAACUCUCCUGUGAUCACACAGCUGAUACUUCUCCCAGAGCUAGGCCAUCUGGAAGAAGGACUCUUGAAUUGAACUACUGCACCAUUUUGCCUCUUAAGGAAGAGAGAUGUAAAAAGGCAGAUGAAGAAAAGAGCCAGGACGAGGCUGGAGAACUGCGGGAGGUAAGGGCCCCAAGAAAACUUCACAAGGGUGGGCUGACCGAAGAACUUUUAAGAACAGGAUUGUCCAAUGUCCAUUCGAAGUUGUUUUCAUUGUCGCACUUGAAACCACCCCUGUGACUUCCCUAAAUCUCCCUCUGCCUGUCCUGCACACAAAUACCUCUGUGGUGGGUUUCUGGUGGAAACAGCAGAAGGUGCUGGCUGCAUUCCACAUCUCAGCCAGAGCUAUGUAAAAACAAAACAGCAGGCCUGGGUCAGUGGCCCAACACAGACACUAAAUGAAUUUAGCAGAAGGCACAGCUCUGAUGCAGAGGAGAGUGUGAAAAUGCAAACCAUUGCAGAACCAUCCAAAGUUUUGGGGGUAUCUUUGUAUUUCCACAGGGUGUGGAAUAUGGAUUUGAACGGAUAUGUUUGAAAUCGUAAGGGAUGGGAGGCCCCCCACUGACAAAUGGGUUACAUACGGAUAGCUAACUGAGGCUUAGAAAGCCCCCAUGCCCUGAAAAUAAAUAUCAGUUCCCCCUCUGCAUCCCCUGCUGCUCUAACCUUGGGCUGGGGUUCAAAGAUUAAGACUCCAGUUUGUGUUUGGCAUGGGGUGGGCUGAUGACAUAUAUGAGAGAGAGACUGGGGAGGGGCUCAGAGUCCUUGGGGCCCAGUCUCUGACCCAGAGCAUAAACCCUGCUGCCAGAACUAGGUGUGAGGACAGAUGCACACGAACUUCUAAGGGACAGUGGGCUGGCAUUGCUGCCUGAGGUGGGAAGGGUCCAAGGACCUGGCCUGUGGCUAUGUCUGCAGACAGGCCUCAACUGGCUCCUGCUAUAAGGAGAGGAGAAGAGAGGGCAGGGAGCCAGGCAGAACUUGGCGAGGGACUCCGGAGAGGUAAUGAGACCAGGCUGGUAAACUCUGAUGAGGAGAAAGUCUGGAAUGCUGGGCCUGGGUGGGAUGGCAGUGCUGGCCUGGGCGCGGGGGUGAGGGGGCUGCCUCAGAGGCGGCCCUGAACAGUAGCCAAAGCUGGAGGAGGGGGAUGGCAGGAAGCAGGGAGGUAAAUUUGUCCCGCUGCCCACCUGGGCAGACUCAGGCCAUUAGGUUUCCCAGAGCAGCUGAGGGAUGCAUCUUGUCAGCUGCCAGAGUGGGGCGUGGCCCAGGGGAUGGCCAGGACCCGGCAGCUGCAGGCUCUUAGGCAAGUUCCUGCAGCUUUUCCUCGCUCUUCUAAAUGCUGGCUUCUCCAAGCCUCCCUUCUCCUUGCUGCCUCUUCUCAUCCUCUCUGCUUUCACUCCAAGGGUUGCAGCAGCCCCUCCGCCUGAUGACUUCCAGAUUGCCACCCCGACCUUGUAGCCAUCACCCUCGGGAUGGCCACAGACCCCUCAGAUUCAGAGGCCCCCAGCUCUGCUCCUCUCUGCAGCCCGAGGCACGAGGAGCUAGGGGAGGCUGGUCUCCUGUCUUUACCCCACUGCUUGUCUUCCCCCCACCAAGAAGAGAGCUAGACCUCAGGGGUAGGGUCAGACCAGUGGGUGGGCGCCGGGCAGAAUGUGAUCCCACACUUGCUGAGUGAGUCUCUGUGUCUCUGCAGAUGCUCUCUCCUCUUCCUUUUCCAUCGAAUCCGCGCUCCCCCUCUGCUACCUUCCACCCUCUUCCACCCAUGCUGCAGAAGUGGCAGGCUAAGCGAGGGCCAGAGGCUUGCUUCUGCGGGCUCUUUCCCCUCUGGAAGGUCGUUCGCAAGACCUGGCUGCAUCAGGCCUGUCCCACUUGUCCCACUUAAUGUGACGGGAUCCGGGGAUGUAGGUAGGGCCUUGGGGGGGAGAGGCCUCCUUGGGCCUUAAGACGUCCCAGGGAGGGCUCGACAUUAGUAGAGGGCAGAAGCCCAACCAACAACUCAGCGACCCAGUGUUCGGUGUUCGAUAUGGCUUCCCCAGAUCUCGGGGGGAGGGGCGAGUGGAGAGACAGGUGUCAGACCUUCCUGGGUCCCUCUGCCUAAUACAUUCAGCAGAGCCUCGUUCUGUCUUUAUUUCUAAACAUCUUCCCCCCUUCACAUCCGAUCCCCUUUUUGUGUUCCCUUUCUAAACUGCUUAGGAAGGACUUUCAGCUCACCGGGUUAUAAUUAUGACGCAGUUUUAUUUUUCUAAUAACGGCUACAACUGAGCUCUGUGCACCCCCCUCCCAGUGGGGAGUUAGGCACCUUUCAGGGGACCUUCGUCCAGUUUCUAAUGUUCAGAUGCUUUUGUUUAUAAAAGGAGUCUCGUUCUGGGUAAGACUUGGUGGUUUUAAAACUCAGGCUCAGAUUUGACUCCAAACUUUUUUCUUCCUCCACGAGCUGAAAGCAGAUGAUUCUGAGGCCCUAGGGGAGGGUGCAGCCACGAGAAGGAGGGAGGCUGGAUCCCUGAAUCACCAUGUGGAAGGUCCAGCCACCAGCCAGGAACACCCGCCACGUGAACAAGAAGGAAACUCCACUGUGUCACUGAGACUGGGGGCGUGUUACAGCAGCUGGGGCUCACUAACGGCAUCGGAAAAUGGGUGCUGAACCAAGUCGGUCUACGAGCCUGGACACAGCAUUGCCCUGUCCUAGUCCUCAGAUUCUUUGGCUAUGUGACAUGGGAAGCUCCGAGAGACCCUUCCUUCUGGGGGAAAGGAACAUUUUAGCUGUACACACACGCGCACUCACGCAUAAACGCACGCUCCUGCACUGGGCGCUGUUUCUGUAAGAACAGGCCUGGAAUGCCUUUCUGGAUACUGUUUCUCCCAAGCACCCAAAUGAGGACAGCGUUCCGGAACUUGUUUCUAACAGACGUCAGUAUAACAAAAACACACGCUACAGACCAAUAAAAAUGUGAUGACCAACUCCAGUGAUAAAAUGUGUUUGUUUAUAUGUAUUUUUAUAGCUUCCUUGAUAAUAAAAGGAAUUGUGUUCGAA